This is a long non-coding RNA of Daktulosphaira vitifoliae (grape phylloxera), 1653 nucleotides long. RefSeq lists it as uncharacterized. The transcript is spliced from 3 exons. The record is from RefSeq and is a predicted model, not a curated record. NCBI's taxonomy places the organism in Eukaryota, Metazoa, Arthropoda, Insecta, Hemiptera, Phylloxeridae.
UACACGCCGCGCAGGUUAGUAGUCGUUCGCGGCCGUCCUUCCCAUUUGUCGGUCGCUAUUGCUGUUUUACAAAUCAUAGCAAUAUUGUACACAUUUAUAUAUAGAUAUGGUAUCAGUCGUUUUUUCAUCUCGAGAAUUUUUUUCCAUGUACAAGCACAUGUGCUUGUCUUUUUUCUGUGUACUCCAGUGAACUACUAAAACACAUGCAAUGGACUUGUGAGCUCUGUCAUCGAGCCGGGGAACACGUGUUGCUUGAAUUUCGCGAAUCCGUCUGCCAAUUUAGUCGAAACGUUAACAUUCAGGUAAAUGUGUCCACUGCUAAGUAUAAACUGCAGCAGAUAACGUGCCUCGGUCGGGACAAAAACCAGUUGGCCAUCUAUCACGUGUGUAGUGCGUGCAACAUAAAGAUUGCCUGGGUCAACCGGUGCGCUGUCUAUGUGUGUGUGACUGAACGCUAAAAGACAGCAACCGAGUUUCAUAUCUGCGGCAGUCUUAUUCAAUUACGAGCGGACAGGAAACAAAAAAAAAACCAGCCCGACGGCAAUAUUAUUGACGACACGGUUAAUAAAAACGGUACCAACUUCAGCCACGGCCGUCGUUCAGCAAAUGCACAAGCUCAAAAUCAAAGCGGAUUAAAAAAGUUCGAGUUAAACUACUUUACACGGGUCCUUCUCGACCGCAGUCGUUGUGUUCUAUUGUUAUUAUUACUUGCAUUAUUUUCAUUAACAAUUUAUGUAUAACUAAGAAGUUGUUAAAUACAUUUUGAGUUUGCUAAGUUCAAACUAUGGUGUAUCAAUUGUCAUGGGAAAUCUUGUGAGAUUGUCUACUGUUAUUUAUUAAGAACAAAAUAUACACUAGGAAACCAUCAAAUAUUAUCACUUUAUUAUAGCAGCAGCAGCAGUUGUUUCAAUACAGAUGUAACAAAAAAAGCAACACGUUGCCAGAUUCCGUUAUAAGUAUAUGUCAUUCAUUACCAUAACGACGUCGAACGCACAAUAGUCAAAAUUGUGCUUGAUUAUCUAAAUGGUAUCUUGUGCAUAUGAUGUGUUAUGUAUUAUGUGAUGUAUUCCUUACUUUAAUCUUAUGAUUAUUAAGUAAUAUCAACAUUUAUAAUUGUAAGGUUGUUGUAUGAAAAUAAGAAUGAGUUUUGAAAAGAAAGAAAGAUAUAUAAGGAUUUUUAUCGUUUUAUUUUUCAGAUGUUCUUUAUGUUUUGGCAAUUCAAUGCAUUUUGCUAAUCGGUCGAUGACCUGUGUAACUAUUGUAUAAAUUCGACAAAUAUUGCACAUGUCCCGGCCAAUUAGCUAAGGCUGCAAACACAACAAUGAAACUCUUCAUUGACACGAGUGAUCAAAUUUUAUCAUCAAGAAUAUAUGUGAAAAUGUUUGCAAAAUAGGUUGUGUUGUGUGCAAUGUGCGUUUGUUCAAUUAGUAUGUUAUUUUCAUAUUGCACUUGACCCAGCCUGCAAUGCACAUUUUUUAUCAUCAUGGUAUCAACUUAUCAAUUUUAUAUUAUUUAAAGUUUUUGUUUUAUAUUUUAUUAAAAAAUUAUAACUACGUAUUAUAUUAUUAAAUUUAAAUAAAUAAAUUGCACCUACUUAUUUUAUGUUUAGUUACCUACACUUAUAUUUUAUUUCAAAGACUAAAUUAGUUCUUU